Molecule: ribosomal RNA, 381 nt
Filed under: uncultured bacterium
Lineage: Bacteria
Description: partial 16S ribosomal RNA
Rfam family: Bacterial small subunit ribosomal RNA
Source: RNAcentral
CCUACGGGGGGCAGCAGUGGGGAAUAUUCGGCAAUGGGCGCAAGCCUGACCCAGCAACGCCGCGUGAACGAAGAAGGCUUUCGGGUUGUAAACUUCUUUUCUCAGGGACGAAGCAAGUGACGGUAACUGAGGAGUAGGCCACGGCUAACUACGUGCCAGCAGCCGCGGUAAUACGUAGGUGGCAAGCGUUAUCCGGAUUUACUGGGUGGAAAGGGCGUGGAGGGGGGACUGCAAGUCAGAUGUGUAAACCACGGGCUCAACCUGUGGCCUGCAUUUGAAACUGUAGUUCUUGAGUAAUGGAGAGGCAGACGGAAUUCCAAGUGAAGCGGUGAAAUGCGUAGAUAUUAGGAAGAACACCAGUGGCGAAGGCGGUCUGCUGGA